Long non-coding RNA from Stegostoma tigrinum, 802 nucleotides. RefSeq lists it as uncharacterized. The record is from RefSeq and is a predicted model, not a curated record. NCBI's taxonomy places the organism in Eukaryota, Metazoa, Chordata, Chondrichthyes, Orectolobiformes, Stegostomatidae. The transcript is spliced from 3 exons.
AUAAAAUUAAGUUAGCAACAUCCUGUACUGCAGUCCUGCUUACUUUGGGCAGUGAAUGCCUCAGGAAUAUGCUCACAGCACUCUUCCUAGUCAUCAGCAUUCACAUCGUGUCACAUCUUUCUACCCUCAAUAUUCUUGCUGCUGUUUUCCCUGCAGGUUGCUCUGAAAAUGACCAGGACUUUCUUCCAGGUCUUAAAGAACAGGAAGGCCAUUGGCACCCUCACUGCUAGUGGGGACUGGCUUUCUGGCUGCUAGAUUCUUACUCACCAAGAACUAUAUGAAAGCAAGGGCAAAGCAGAGGAAACCGUAACCGCCCCAGUGCAGAAUAUCCUGAUCGCCUAAACCACCAUAGCUACAUGGCAACUUACCUGACCCCUGGCUUGUAUGCCAAACUCCAGAAUAAGUCUAUGUCCAGUGGCUGGACAAUGGAGCAGUGCAUCCAAACCGGAGUAGACAAUCCUGGAGAGCCUUUCGUUGAGUCCUCAGGAAUAAUGGCAGUAGAUGAAGAAUUCUAUGCAGUGAAGUUGGUUCAAUUGGUGAUUGAUGGAGUCAACUUCUUAAUUGAGUGUGAGAAGAAACUCUAAUGUGGGCAAGAUAUCCAAAUCCCACCCCCACUACCCAGAAAUGGCCACCAUUGAUUUGCCCAUCUCGUUAAACACAUUCAGAAUCUAGAAAUCAUCACAUCUACAAAGCAGGCACAAACCUCCUGACCAUGUAAACUAACAAAGUAAUGGUACAUGCAAUCUUUUUGUUAACCUUAUCAAACAACAUGCAUCUUGUACUCAGAUAUGGUAGUUACACG